AUUCAGUCCCAGACAUAAAAUAUCUACCGGUACUCACAUUUCAAAGAUUCCUUGCUGAGUCCGACCACUGGGUGCCUCACCGCCCGGAAAUGGAUCCUUCCGCUGAAGAUCCGUGAAGGCAGACUGACGGCGCUGCGAAAUGUCGUCAUCGCAUUGCGUGAUGCCGCGGCCCGCAACGCUCCUCCUACGGUAGAAGAAGGAAGUCUCGCCGCAAAGGUGCAAUGCCUAGGUCUUAUUUUCGGCGUAGGGCUUAUAUUGCAGCCCACCCCGAUAAUCCGACUAGGGCUUAUUUUCGGGGUACGGUUUAUUUUCGGGGAAACACGGUAUUUACUAACAAUGAGAUGAGUGUGGCUGGGCACAGUAGGUACCAUAUACUACAGCAGUGUACAUUACCCAAUGACUAGUAACCACCGCAUUUAGAAUCUGGUGUUUUAUUCGUAUUAAAAUUACAAAUAUUUUAGUUUUGGUCUUGUGAUUAAUUUUUUUUUUUCC
Non-coding RNA from Pelobates cultripes (western spadefoot toad), 492 nucleotides. The record is from the annotation of a GenBank genome assembly. NCBI's taxonomy places the organism in Eukaryota, Metazoa, Chordata, Amphibia, Anura, Pelobatidae.